CAAUCAAAAGUAAAGUUCAACCCUGUCAUAUGAACACACACAUCACAAAGUAGUUUCUCAGAAUUCUGCUGUCUAGUUUUUAUGUGAAGAUAUUUCCUUUUCCAUCAUAGGCCUCAUGGCGCUCCAAAUGUCCACUUGCAGAUUUUACAAAAAGGGAGUUUCAAGACAGCUCCAUCAAAAGAAAGUUUUAACUCUGUGAGAUGCAUGCACACAUCACAAAGAAGUUUUUCAGAUUGCUUCUGUCUAGAUUUUAUUUUAAUAUAUAUCCUUUUCUAACGUAGGCGACAAAGUGCUCCAAAUGUCCACUUGCAGAUUCUACAAAAAGAGUGAUUCCAAACUGCUUAAUCAAAAGAAAGGUUCAACUCUGUGAGAUGAAUGCACACAUCACAAAGAAGUUUCUCAGAAUUAUUCUGUCUAGUUUUUAUCUGAAGAUGUUUCCUUUUACACCAUAGGCCUCAAAGCGCUCCAAAUGUACACUGGCAGAUUCUACAAAAAGAGAGUUUCAAAACUGCUUAAUCAAAAUAAAUGUUUAACUCUGUGAGAUGAAUGCACACAUCAUAAAGAAGUUUGUCAGACUGCUUUUAUCUAGAUUUUCUGUGAAGAUAUUUCCUUUUCUACCAGAGGUCGCAAAGCGCUCCAAAUGACCGCUUGCAGAUUCUACAAAAAGAGUGCUUCCAAACUGCUCAAUCUAAAGAAAGGUUCAACUCUGUGAGAUGUAAGCACACAUCACAAAGAAGUUUCUCAGAAUUUUUCUGUCUAGUUUCUAUGUGAAAAUAUUUACUUUUCCACCAUAGGCCUCAAAGCGCUCCAAAUGUCCACUUGCAGAUUUUACAAUAAGAGAGUUUCAAGACAGCUCAAUCAAAAGAAAGUUUUAACUCUGUGAGAUGAAUGCACACAUCACAAAGAAGUUUCUCAGAUUCAUAUUAUCUAGAUUUUAUGGUAAUAUAUUUCCUUUUCUAACAUAGGCUGCAAAGCGCUCCAAAUGUCCACUUGCAGAUUCCACAAAAAGAGUGUUUCCAAACUGCUCAAUCAAAAGAAAGGUUCAACUCUGUGAGAUAAACGCAUGCAUCACAAAGAAGCUUCUCCGAAUUCUUCUGUGUAGUUUUGAUGUCAAAAUAUUUCCUUUUCCUCCACAGGCCUCAAAGCGCUCCAAAUGUUAACUUGCAGAUUCUACAAAAAGAUUCAAAACUGCUCAAUCAAAACAAAGGCUUAACUCUGUGAGAUCAGUGCACACAUCACAAAGAAGUUUCUAAGAGUGCUUCUGUCUAGUUUCUAUGUGAAGAUAUUUCCUUUUCCACCAUAAGCCUCAAAGCGCUCCAAAUGUCCACUUCCACAUUCAACAAAAAGAGAGUUUCAAAACUGCUCAAUCAAAAGUAAGAGUUAACCCUGUGAGAUGAAUGCACACAUCCCAAGGAAGUUUCUCACAUUGCUUCUGUCUAGAUUUUAUGUGAGGAUAUUUCCUUUUCUAACUUAGGCUGCAAAGCGCUUCAAAUGCCCACUUACAGAAUCUACAAAAAGAGUGCUUCCAUAAUUCUCAAUCAAAAGAAAGGUUCAACUCUGUGAGAUGAACGCACACAUCACAAAGAAGUUUCUCAGAAUUCUUGUCUCUAGUUUUUAUGUGAAGAUAUUUCCUUUUCCACCAUAGGCCUAAAAGCACUCCAAAUGUUCACUUGCAGAUUCUACAAAAAAAAGAGUUUCAAAACUGCUCAAUCAAAAGAAUGCUUUAACUCUGUGAGAUGAAUGCACACAUCACAAAGAGGUUUCUCACAUUGGUUCUGUCUAGAUUUUAUGUGAAGAUAUUUCCUUUUAUAACAGAGGCAACAAAGCACUCCAAUAGUCCACUUGCAGAUUCUACAAAAAGAGUGUCUGCAAACUGCUCAAUCAAAAGGAAGUUUUAACUCUGUGAGAAGAACGUGCACAUCACAAAGAAGUUUCUCAAAAUUCUUCUGUCUAGUUUUUAUGUGAAGAUAUUUCCUUUCCCACUGUAGGCCUCAAAGCACUCAAAAUGUCCACUUGCAGAUUCUACAAAAAGAGAGCUUCAAAACUACUCAACCAAAAGAAAGGUUUAACUCUCUGAGAUGAAUGCACACAUCACAAAGAAGUUUCUGAGAUUGCUUCUGUCUAGAUUUUAUGUGAAGAUAUUUCCUUUUCUACCAUAGGCAACAAAGCACUCCAAUAGUCCACUUGCAGAUUCUACAAAAAGAAUGUUUCUAAACUGCUCAAUCAAAAGGAAGGUUCAACUUUGUGAGAUAAACGCAUACAUCACAAAGGAGAUUCUCAGAAUUCUUCUGUCAAGUUUUUAUGUGAAGAUAUUUCCUUUUCCACCAUAGGCCUCAAAAUGAUCCAAAUGUCCACUUGCAAAUUCUACAAAAACAGAGUUUCAAAACUGCUCAGUCAAAAGAAAGUUUGAACUCUGUGAGAUGAAUGCACACAUGCCAAAGAAGUUUCUCAGAUUCCUUCUGUCUAGAUUUUUUUGAAGAUAUUACCUUUUCUACCAUAGUCCUCAUAGCGCUGCAAAUGUCCACUUGCAGAAUCUCCAAAAAGAGUGUUUCCAAACUGCUGAAUCAAAAUAAACUUUCAACUAUUUGAGUUGAAGGCACACAUCACAAAGAAGAUUCUGAGAAUACUUCUGUCUAGUUUUUAUGUGAAGAUAUUUCCUUUUCCACUAUAUGCCCAAAAGCGCUCCAAAUGUCCACUUGCAGAUUCUACAAAAAGAGUGUUUCAAACCUGCUCUAUCAAAAGAAAGGUUCAACUCAGUGAGUUGAAUGCAAACAUCACAAAGAAGUUUCUGAAAAUGGUUCUGUCUAGUUCUUAUGUGAAGAUACUUCCUUUUCCAACAUAGGUCUCAAAGGGAUCCGAAUGUCCAAUGCAGAUUCUGCAAAAACAGUGUUUCAAACCUGCUCUAUCAAAAGAAAGGUUCAACUCUGUGAGUUGGAUGCAUACAUCACCAUCACAAAGAAGUUUCUGAGAAUGCUUCUGUCUAGUUUUUAUGUGAAGAUAUUUCCUUUUCCACCAUAGGCCUCAAAGCGCUCAGAAUGUUCACUUGCAGAUACUACAAAAAGAGUGUUUGAAACCUGUUCUAUCAAAAGAAAGGUUCAACUCUGUGAGUUGAAUGUACAUAGACAAAGAAGUUUCGGAGAAAACUUCUGUCUAAUGUUUAUGUGAAGAUAUUCCCGUUUCCAACGAAUGCCUCAACGCAUUCCAAAUAUCCACUUACGGAUUCUACAAAAAGAGUGUUUCAAAACUGUUCCAUAAAAAGAAAGUUUCAACUCUAUGAGUUGAAUGUACACAUCACAAGAAGUUUCUGAGGAUGCUGCUGUCAGUUUUUAUGUGAAGAUAUUCCCAUUUCCAACGAAGGCUUCAAAGCGAUCCAAAUAUCCACUUGCAGAUCCUACUAAAAGAGUGUUUCAAAACUACUCUAUCAUAAGGUAUGUUCAACUCCAUGAGUUGAAGGCAAACAUCACAAAGAAGUUUCUGAGAAUGCUUCUCUCUAGUUUUUGUGGGAAGAUAUUUGUUUUUCCACCAUAGGCCUCAAAGCGCUCCAAAUGUCCACUUGCAGAUUCUACAAAAAAAGUGUUUCAAAUCUGCCCUGUCAAAAGAAAGGAUCAACUCUGUGAGUUGAAUGCGCACAGAAAAAAGAAGUUUCAGAGAAACUUCUAUCUAGUGAUUAUGUGAAGAUAUUCCCAUUUCCAACGAAGGCCUCAAAGCGGUCCAAAUAUCCACUUGCAGAUUCUACUAAAAGAGUGUUUCAAAACUGCUCUAUUAUAAAGUAUGUUCAAGUCUCUGAGUUGAAUGCAAACAGCACACAGAAGUUUCUGAGAAUGCUUCUGUCUAGUUUUUAUGGGAAGAUAUUUGUUUUUCCACCAUAGCCUUCAAAUCUCUCCAAAUGUCCACUUGCAGAUUCUGCAAAAAGAGUGUUUCAAACAUGCUCUAUCAAAAGAAAAGUUUAACUCUGUGAGUUGAAUGCACACAUCACAAAGAUGUUUCUAAGAAUGCUUCUGUCUAAUUUUUAUGUGAAGAUAUUUCCUUUUCCACCACAGGCCCAAAAGUCCUCCAAAUGUCCACUUGCAGAUUCCACAAAAAGAGAGUUUCUAAACUGCUCUAUCAAAAGAAACGUUUAACUCUGUGAGAUGAAUGCACACAUCACAAAGAAGUAUCUCAGACUGCUUCUGUCUAGAUAUUAUGUAAAGAUGUUUCCUUUUCUACCAUAGGACACAAAGCACUCCAAAUGUCCCCUUGCAGAUUCUGGAAAAAGAGUGUUUCCUAACUGCUCAAUCAAAAGAAAGUUUCAACUCUGUGAGAUGAAUGCACACAUCACCAAGAAGUUUCUCGGAAUUCUUCUGUCUAGUUUUUAUGUGAAGAUAUUUCCUUUUCCACUAUAGGCCUCAAAGCACUUCAAAUAUCCACUUGCAGUUUCUACAAAAAGAGAGUUUCAAAACUGCUCAUUCAAAAGAAAGGUUUAACUCUCUGAGAUGAAUGCAGACAUAACAAAGAUGUUUCUCAGACUGAUUCUGCCUAGAUUUUAUGUGAAGGUAUUUCCUUUUCUACCAUAGGCCGCAAAGCUCUUCAAAUGUCCAAUUGCAGCUUCUAAAAAAAGGGUGUUUCCAAACUGCUCAGUCAAAAGAAAUGUUCAAUUCUGUGAAAUGAAUGCAGGCAUCACAAAGAAGUUUCUCAGAUAGCUGCUGUCUAGAUUUUAUGUGAAGAAACUUCCUUUUCUACCACAGGCAGUGAAGCCCUCCAAAUGUCCACUUGAAGAUUCUUCAAAAAGAGAGUUUCAAAACUGCUCAAUCAAAAGAAAUGUUUAACUCUGAGAGAUGAACACACACAUCACAAAGAAGUUUCUCAGAAUGCUUUUGUCCAGUUAUUAUAUAAAGAUAUUUCGUUAACCACCAUAUGCCUCAAAACACUUCAAAUGUCCACUUGCAGAUUUUACAAAAGAGAGUUUCAAAACUGCUCUAUGAAAAGAAAGAUUCAACUCUGUGAGAUGAAUGCACACAUCACAAAGAAGUUUGUCAGGUUUCUUCUGUCUAGAUUUUAUGUGAAGAUAUUUCCUUGUCUACCAUAGCUCACAAAGCGUUCCAAAUGUCCACUUGCAGAUUCUACAAAAAGAGUGUUCCCAAACCGCUCAAUCAAAAGUAAGGUUCAAUUCUGUGAGAUGAACGCACACAUCACAAAGGAGUUUCUCAGAAUUCUUCCGUCUAGUUUUUAUGUGAAGAUAUUUCCUUUUCCACCACAGGCCUCAAAGCGCUCCAAAUGUCCACUUGCAGUUUGUACAAAAAGGGAGACUCAAAAUUGCUCCAUUAAAAGGAAUGUUUUACUCUGUGAGAUGAAUGCACACAUCACAAAGAUGUUUCUCAGAUUGCUUCUGUCUAGAUAUUAUGUAAAGAUAUUUCCUUUUCUACCAUAGGCUGCAAAGCACUCCAAAUGUCCACUUGAAGAUUCUACAAAAAGAGUGUUUCCAAACUGCUCAAUUAGAAGAAAGGUUCAACUCUGUGAGAUGAACACACACAUCACAAAGAAGUUUCUCAGAAUUCUUCUGUCUGGUUUUUAUGUGAAGAUAUUUCAUUUUCCACCAUAGGCCUCAAGGCACUCGAAAUGUCCACUUGCAGAUUCUACAAAAAGAGUAUUUCAAAACUUGUCCACCAAAGAAAGUUUCAACUCUGGGACAUGAAUGCAAGCAUCACAAAGAAGUUUCUGAGAAUGCUUCUAUCUCGUUUUUUUUUUGUGAAGAUAUUUCCUUUUCCAACAUAGGCGUCAAAUUCCUCCAAAUGUCCACUUGCAGAUUCUACAAGAAGAGAGUUUCAAAAUUCCUCAAUCAGUAGAAAGGUUUAACUCUGUGAGAUGAAUGUACACAUCACAAAGAAGUUUCUCAGAUUUCUUCUGUCUAGAUUUUAUGUGAAGUUAUUUCCUUUUCUACCAUAGGCCACGAAGCGCUCCAUAUGUCCACUUGCAGAUUGUACAAAAAGCUUGUUUUGCAAACUGCUCAAUCAAAAGAAAGGUUCAACUCUGUGAGAUGAAAGCACGCAUCACAAGGAGUUUCUCAGAAAUCUUCUGUCUAGUUUUUAUGUGAAGAUAUUUCAUUUUCCACCAUAGGCCUCAAAGCGCUGCAAAUGUCCACUUACAGAUUCUACAAAAAGAGAGUUUCAAAACUGCUCAAUCAAAAGAAAGGGUUAAACAUGUGAGAUGAACGCAAACAUCAGAAAGAAGUUUCUCAGAUUGCUUCUGUCUAGAUUUUAUGUGAAGAUAUUUCCUUUUCCACCAUAGGCCUCAAAGCGCACCAAUGUCCACUUGCAGAUUCUCCAAAAAGAGUGUUUCUAAACUGCUCAAUCAAAAGAAAGGUUCAACCCUGUGAAAUAAAUGGACACAUCACAAAGAAGUUUCUCAGAAUUCUUCUGUCUGGUUUUUAUGUGAAGAUAUUUACUUUUCCACCAUAGGCUGUAAAUCGCUCCAAAUAUCCACUUGCAGACACUACAAAAAGAGUAUUUCAAAAGUGCUAAAUCAAAAGAAAAGUUCAACUCUGUGAGGUGAAUGCACACAUCACAAAGAAGUUUCUCAGAAUGCUUCUUUCUUGUCUUUAUGUGAAGAUAUUUCCUUUUCCAUUCAGAAACUCGUAGCAGUGUUCUGUAAUCCUGUGUGAGGGACAAACACUCAGAAUCCAGCCACUGUGUACUGGAGUCCUAUCUGAGGGCACACAUUUAAAAUCCAGAUGUAGUCUCCUUGCUUUAGUGAAUACACUUAUCUCCUUUUCCUGCUAUACAUUUAGGCAAAUUAUUUUUCUGUAUCUUAAAUAAAUGGUAAAUACCUGAAAUUUCUUACUUUUUCCAGGCAGAGUGUCUUCACUAUUUAGCUGUAGAAGUAUAACUAUUUUUGUCUGUGUCACAAUUUUGUACUCAGGAACCCUGGCCAUGUCACUAGCCAAACGGACAUAACUUAUGGAAUACAUGGACAGCAUCCGGUUGAUAUGCUCUAGAGAAAAAUAGCAGCUACCAUAGACUUCAGGAAAGACACAUCGAGCCAAUGACAAAAAUGUGGGUUUCCUACCUUCAGGGAGUCUAAGAAUGCAGUAGAAAGUGAUGUGGAGAAAACAUCUUUCAAAUGGAAGGAAGGGAUAGGGAAAGGAAGACUGUUAGAGGCUCUUUUGAAUGUUAGAGGCAACAUAAAACAUAUUUGGAUGUGUAUUCUAAAUAAAAUGCAAAUGUCAAGAAGGAUGUCAGCUGUGAGUGGGACUCAGAGAAAGAGAAACGUUUUGGACUACAGAGGCCUGCAGUACAAGUGGAUCUACAAUUUUGUUUAGGGAAUCCAAUGCCUCAGGUAUCUAUGUGAGGCAGAAUUUUCCUAUGGAGCCAGCGGCAAGGCUCCAGAGGAGAAAUACAGUACAAGCCACUUUAUUUUGGAGUAAAAGCCUUUUGUACAAAAAUUACCCGCCCCCUCCUUUUUUGAGAAACAAUUUCACAUUGGGAUACUAAUAAGAAGGAAUGCUCAGUCAUGAAUAAGGGUGACCCCGUUGUGAUCUGAGCAUUAUAGGAUCAUAGUAACUACAACCAGUCUUCCAUCAUUCCAUGGAAAUUGCAUGUAUGCCACGUUGCCUUCUCAGUUUCCAAGGGACCAAUUAAUGAACAGGCUACUCACAUUUUCAACAUCCUACUCCUGACACACUCCCACCCUUCUUUCUAUUUAUCUGUGAUUCAUAGAGAUUUGCCUAUGACUGGAUUCCUGAGGAGAAAAAAGUCUGGAUUACAGAUGGCAUUCCUUGUUAUGGAAGGCCCUUCCUUCUGAAAGUCUAUUUCUAUCACGUUCUUUCCCUGUGCUGUCAAAGGGUCACCCCUUUGUACAAAGGAGAAGAGAAAUCCAUCAAAGUCUUCCUUUGUCAGUGCAGUGGAGUGAUCUCGAC
RNAcentral lists this long non-coding RNA (7891 nucleotides) under Homo sapiens (human). RNAcentral describes it as "HSALNT0149488". Lineage: Eukaryota; Metazoa; Chordata; Mammalia; Primates; Hominidae. The record is from RNAcentral.